GAUGAACGCUGGCGGCGUGCCUAAUACAUGCAAGUCGAGCGAACAGACGAGGAGCUUGCUCCUCUGACGUUAGCGGCGGACGGGUGAGUAACACGUGGAUAACCUACCUAUAAGACUGGGAUAACUUCGGGAAACCGGAGCUAAUACCGGAUAAUAUAUUGAACCGCAUGGUUCAAUAGUGAAAGACGGUUUUGCUGUCACUUAUAGAUGGAUCCGCGCCGCAUUAGCUAGUUGGUAAGGUAACGGCUUACCAAGGCAACGAUGCGUAGCCGACCUGAGAGGGUGAGCGGCCACACUGGAACUGAGACACGGCACAGACUCAUACGGGAGGCAGCAGUAGGGAAUCUUCCGCAAGGGGCGAAAGCCUGACGGAGCAACGCCGCGUGAGUGAUGAAGGUCUUCGGAUCGUAAAACUCUGUUAUUAGGGAAGAAAAAAUGUGUAAGUAACUAUGCACGUCUAGACGGUACCUAAUCAGAAAGCCACGGCUAACUACG
RNAcentral lists this ribosomal RNA (495 nucleotides) under uncultured bacterium. RNAcentral describes it as "partial 16S ribosomal RNA". It matches the Rfam family "Bacterial small subunit ribosomal RNA", at positions 28 to 505 of the family's 1533-position model. The record is from RNAcentral.